AAACCAACAGGGAUUGCCUUAGUAGCGGCGAGUGAAGCGGCAAAAGCUCAAAUUUGAAAUCUGGCUCUUUCAGAGUCCGAGUUGUAAUUUGAAGAAGGUAUCUUUGGGUCUGGCUCUUGUCUAUGUUUCUUGGAACAGAACGUCACAGAGGGUGAGAAUCCCGUGCGAUGAGAUGAUCCAGGCCUAUGUAAAGUUCCUUCGAAGAGUCGAGUUGUUUGGGAAUGCAGCUCUAAGUGGGUGGUAAAUUCCAUCUAAAGCUAAAUAUUGGCGAGAGACCGAUAGCGAACAAGUACAGUGAUGGAAAGAUGAAAAGAACUUUGAAAAGAGAGUGAAAAAGUACGUGAAAUUGUUGAAAGGGAAGGGCUUGAGAUCAGACUGGUAUUUUGUAUGUUACUUCUUCGGGGGUGGCCUCUACAGUUUAUCGGGCCAGCAUCAGUUUGGGCGGUAGGAGAAUUGCGUUGGAAUGUGGCACGGCUUCGGUUGUGUGUUAUAGCCUUCGUCGAUACUGCCAGCCUAGACUGAGGACUGCGGUUUAUACCUAGGAUGUUGGCAUAAUGAUCUUAAGUCGC
Molecule: ribosomal RNA, 569 nt
Filed under: Candida tropicalis
Lineage: Eukaryota; Fungi; Ascomycota; Pichiomycetes; Serinales; Debaryomycetaceae
Description: eukaryotic LSU rRNA
Rfam family: Eukaryotic large subunit ribosomal RNA
Source: RNAcentral